UCUACCAGGUCACUUGAGUCCAGUUACUGUAGUGGACCACGGUACCCUCAUCAUCAACGACGCCCAAGUGACCAUCAUCAACGAUCUCGGUCUAAAACAAGAGAUAUCUGGCUCAUACCUUGUAACCUACUCUAGCAAGAAAAAUUUACAGCGGGUUCCUUCUUCAGCUACUUCUUUGCCCUACUUGCCUCCUUUCUAUUGUGCUCUACCGUUUGGAUAGGAUACAACGCUUUAAGGACCAGAGAACAAGGCAACCCAAGAACCAAUGGCGACGUAGAAUCAGCAGGUCACCGGGACGGCGACCACUUAAAAGAGGGAGGAGUUAGCACGCGCAGUUCCCAUGAGCAGAAUUUGCCGAGUUGCAAGCCAUAUCCGGUGGCCAACACGCGCAGCAAGGAAACUGCCGAAUCCACGAUUCAGGUGCCAUCGCCCCAUCGCCUGAUACCAGGUGCUGACCCGGCGCAUAAGCGGCAGCGCAGGGAACAUGCGCUCAGCGAAUGAUCGCCGGAUACCAAGUGCUGACCUGGCUUUUUGGUGACAGUGCUGCUAGCAGGCAAAGGCCUCAAGCUGUAGCCGGAUCAGAACCUUAAGUUAGUCUAAGUUUGGUACUCCGCAGCCAUAGCUGUGUUAAGGAAAACAUUUAUAAAUUUAUCUAACCCUUUGCCUAAACAGGCUUAGGAGUAAUAAAU
Drosophila gunungcola (fruit fly) is the source of this 689-nucleotide long non-coding RNA. RefSeq lists it as uncharacterized. Lineage: Eukaryota; Metazoa; Arthropoda; Insecta; Diptera; Drosophilidae. The transcript is spliced from 2 exons. The record is from RefSeq and is a predicted model, not a curated record.